This 1469-nucleotide long non-coding RNA is filed under the name Nicotiana benthamiana. RNAcentral describes it as "long non-coding RNA (NBEN_LNC028341)". Lineage: Eukaryota; Viridiplantae; Streptophyta; Magnoliopsida; Solanales; Solanaceae. The record is from RNAcentral.
CAUUCUCUCCUUCGAAAUCUGCCAGACCCACACCAAGGGACCCGAACCGAUCCGACCCUGUCUCUAUACCCACUCCUAGACAACCCAAAACUCACAGAAUCCCUAAAAACCAACACGAGUGUUCAUCCCUUCUGAAGAACACGCGAAUCUAGCCCCAAAUUCCAUUCAAAUCCAAGCGAGUGAAGCCCAAAUCCUUAAUUCACGCGUCCCUCCUUCUCUUAUCUCACCAUUUCUAACGAUUUCUGGAACUAAAAAUGCUCCCUCCCUUCAUUCACUCAGGUCAGAGAUUUAGCACGUGAUUGGAAGGUCCUAGAGAUGAAUCGUUGGAUGAGGAUGAAUCGUUGGAUUGGCUUCGUUCAAUCCAAGCCCCAUUUUCAUCAGGGUUUCGUCUCUAUAAAGGACAGAUUUAGAUUUUAGAUACGAGGAUUUUUUUGAGAAGAGAGGAUCUGAAGUCAAAUAGAAGAGUAAUAAAAUUCUAUAGCUAGUGUUCUUCACAUUUAUUUUGUUUUUUUAUUCGCAGUGUUGAAUCUAAAAAAACAUAUAUAGAAAAUGUUUGAAGUUCUGUGACUUUUUUUUGUUCGAUUCAUUGUUCACCCGUUUUGAAAUACAUAUAUUCCGUCUUCAAAGUUAUUGGAAUUCGUUGUUGAUCGAGGCAUCGAUCUGUGGCUGCUGUUGCAUUGCAUCGAUUUCAAGUGCUGAGAUUCUCUUACAUUUUUUUUCAAGUUUAUCACUGCUCCUUCUAUUGUUUCUAUUGUGAAUGAGUCCUGGAUGGACCUGGAAGGAUUGUUAAAAUGGAUUCAGUCGUGAUAAUAGACGAGGCUCGUAUGGUUACCCUCGUUAUGUUUUCAAUGUUCUCCACGAAUUCAUCUGUAGUGAGUCAGCUUCUGAAUAGAUGAGGAGUAAAACUUGUGUGGUUUCAAUAUCGUAUUCGUGUUUGUAUUGAUUUCGAAGAUUGUCUUAGUGUUAUCCUUCAGCUCAUACUUGCUUCAAAAUGGAUCCCCUGCUGAUGUUGCAAAUCUGGUGAUUGUCGCUGUAUAUAAUGUCGAGGUUAUUUCCUGUUGCAUUUGUUCAAAAAAUAAGCUUCGAUGAGCAUUAAUCGCUGUUGUUUAAUUCCUGAAUGACUGUCUAGGUCGUCUUUGAAAUGCUGAUAAUUGGACAUCAUGUUAUAACCCUUAUUCUAACUGUCACCACCUCAUCUCCUAUUUCCUCGUUGUUAAUUUUGGUGUUCAGUCGAGAUAGGCUACUGAUUUGACCAAAUAUCAGUGGUUUCUCGCUAGAUGAUGAUCACUCCGUAAUGAUUUGAGCCUAAAUAAACUGAUAAACUGUGUCAUUCCAUAACAGUUCAUUAAAUAGGUGAUGAUCAGUGAUUUCAUUCUGUAAUAAUGGGCUACCUGUGUAUGUGUAGUUUUUUUUGUGUUGGAAAUCGUUUGAAUCAUUAGCUAUUAGAUCUAUCGUCGUCUUAACUUCGC